This 23-nucleotide microRNA is filed under the name Mus musculus (house mouse). Its description in RNAcentral is "mmu-miR-7677-3p". Lineage: Eukaryota; Metazoa; Chordata; Mammalia; Rodentia; Muridae. The record is from miRBase by way of RNAcentral.
CCGGCUGUGUCCUCUCACCUAGG